UCUUCAGAAAGAACAUCUUCUGCUAUCUCUCUGUCCUGACUCUCUGGAUCCAUAACGAAGACUCCAAAAGGGUCAUCAUUGAAAGGAAUCAUCACAGUUACAGCAAGGCUUGUUUCAGACAACUGCCCACCAGGACCAGCAGAUCCACCUACAUAAUGGAAGUCAAGACAGGUGGAGAUCAUGGUACGACUGCAGAAGUAAGAAGACGUUAAGAAGAUCAUGGCAUGUCUGUAGAGCCUCCAUGCACCACUAAGCAGGAAAUCUUCUGUACAUGCAUAUGGAUUUCACUUACAGAAAUGUCAACAUAUUUUCAGUUGUAUCUCGGCACAGAAGACCAUAAAUAGUACUGAGGUGGAAGGAGUCCAGCAGAUUUGGAACUCUACUCAGUAGCAGGCCGGUAGCAGUUGUAAUUUAAGUGAUACAAAGUGGUAACUAUUUGCAUUUUAGAGAAAUUUCUAGAAAAAAGCAAACAAACCAGCCAAUCUCCAUUAUGGUAGAUAUGCAUAACCUUUUAUACCUUCAUUUUGUCAGCUCUACAGAAAGCUCUACAUCUCUGAAAUCACUAAAAGGAAUCAUUUUAAAGGCCUGAUUCCAAAACUGUGUUCAUAUAUCUAAAUUAAAAAAAAAUUAAAAACCUAAAAUUUCACAAGAAAAGUAUAGGAUAAUACAGGCAUCAAGGCAAAGCUCUUUGCAGGAUUGUUUUCUUUUUGAUUGAUUAAAUAUAAUUAUUUUCUGCCAGAUAUGAAGGGAAUGGUUAUAUGGAAGACAGUACCUGAAAUAUUCACCAAUUUUAAAAUGUAAAAUUCAUUGAAUUCAGGAAUUUUAUCUGAAACAGCAUGAAGCACUAUCUGCUUUGAUCCUUCACCAUCCAUGAAGUACACAGUCCCAUAUGUUUCAUAGAACUCUUCUCCUGGCUUCAGUGCAGAGUCAUUAAGAAACAGCUGCCAGGUUAAUGAGACAUUCCCAAAGUGUCCUCUAUGUCUCAAAAUC
Passer domesticus (house sparrow) is the source of this 990-nucleotide long non-coding RNA. RefSeq lists it as uncharacterized. The transcript has 2 exons. The record is from RefSeq and is a predicted model, not a curated record. Lineage: Eukaryota; Metazoa; Chordata; Aves; Passeriformes; Passeridae.